RNAcentral lists this transfer RNA (84 nucleotides) under Lentinus tigrinus ALCF2SS1-6. Its description in RNAcentral is "tRNA-Asp". The record is from RNAcentral. Lineage: Eukaryota; Fungi; Basidiomycota; Agaricomycetes; Polyporales; Polyporaceae.
UCUAUGGUAGUGUAUCGGUUAGUACACGCGCCUGUCAUCACACCAGGACCGCGCGAAAGCGGGGUUCGACUCCCGGCCAGGGAG